UACGUAGGGGGCAAGCGUUGUCCGGAUUCAUUGGGCGUAAAGAGCGUGUAGGCGGCCAGGUAGGUCGGUUGUGAAAACUGGAGGCUCAACCUUCAGAGGUCGACCGAAACCAUCUGGCUAGAGUCCGGGAGAGGAGAGUGGAAUUCCAGGUGUAGCGGUGAAAUGCGUAGAGAUUUGGAGGAACACCAGUGGCGAAGGCGACUUUCUGGUCUGUAACUGACACUGAGGCGCGAAAGCGUGGGGAGCAAACAGG
This 253-nucleotide ribosomal RNA is filed under the name uncultured bacterium. Its description in RNAcentral is "partial 16S ribosomal RNA". It matches the Rfam family "Bacterial small subunit ribosomal RNA", at positions 524 to 776 of the family's 1533-position model. The record is from RNAcentral.